Molecule: long non-coding RNA, 1480 nt
Filed under: Androctonus crassicauda
Lineage: Eukaryota; Metazoa; Arthropoda; Arachnida; Scorpiones; Buthidae
Source: RNAcentral
GAUUGUUAAAAAUAUAUAAGGUUAAAAUUUAUUUGUUUACAACAAAUACUUUUCAUAUGAUUUUCAAUAGGGGAAAAUUGAAUACUUUUCCUAGUUUGUAAUCAAUUUUAUAAGCAAAUUAGGAAACAUUUAUUUCAUUUUUAAAUUUAUAAUAAGAAGAAGCAAAGAAAUAUUAAGUUAAUAAUAAGUAGUUUUGAAUAUGGAUAACAUUGGAUUUACGAAGCCUUAAAUUAUAUACUUUCAAAAUUACUAAAUACAUAUUAUUAUAGAUUUUUUUACUAUUACAUGCGGAUUAUAUGAAUUUCUACUCGCUUAUAGAAUCUAUUGUAAAUAGAACAAAAUGGACAAUCUGAUUAUGUAUUCCUUUUCUAAUAAAAAGUAGAUGAAAAUUUCCAGAAACUUAUCAACAACAUAAAAGGUGGUUUAGUAUUCUUCGACAAAAGAUACAACAGACUAGCUAACGAAAUUAAAUUUAUUUACACUAUUCUACAUAAUCGUAAAUGAUGGAGGGGACAAGCACACAUGUCACGUAAACAAAGCGCUAGAAAGACAAUUAGAAAUUUUCCAGCGGUAACAAAGGCGAGUAACCUUUUGCGGAUGAGUCGAAUCGACAAAGGCGGUUCGAUGGGCGAAAGCUACUACAGAGGGAAACGAAUGCAGAAAAGUUACAAUAAUUCUACAAGAUCGGCCAAGUGCCCUCGAUCGGACUGCAACCGUAACUGUUUUCUGUUUAUUUAUCAGGUACAGAAAGUGAUUUUUAAAUUUUACAUAUUCCAUAUCACUAAAUAAUUACAAGGCUAAAGUAUCCAUUAUACUAUAUCCAUUCUAGCGAAGUUAACUGGGAUAAAAGUGACCCGAUCAUGUUAAUUAGGAACAUAAUAAUCGGAAUAAUAUCAGUGUUCAUACAAGGUUAAGUUAAUAGAGAUCAGUUGCUCCGUUUCGUAUAGACAGAUGGCGCUAUAAUCGAGAAAACUUUUUGAGUAUGAUGGUGGAAUAUGAGAAUUUGGAUCUAUAGAAUGUAAUUCAUUAUUGUAUUAAUUAAAUGAUAAUACAAUAAUGAAUUACAUUCUAUACUAUAUUCUAUCUCGUAAUAAAUAUAAUAUAUAAUAUACACUUACAUUUUUUUUGUUCAAACUAAGGUCAUCUAAAUUUUGAUUUCCAAACAUUGACCAGCAAAUAAACUUCUGUGUCUGUCCAAUUUAUUAUCCUUUUACUAAAUUUGUUAUUUGUCAUUUCCAUUUUGUUUAUGGAUUGAAAAACCGUAAUCAAAUCAUUAACAGUAAUUUUUGAAACUCUCAAUAGUCAACACUUCACUGUGUCAUCACUACACAGUUGAAAAAGAAUUAAUUCGUUCUUGUGUAAAGGGUUAAGCUAAUAUGGUUUCUGGCUAGUUGAUCGUAGUUUGUUAAUUCUGUUCCAUUCAAAAGCAAAACUUGAUCGGGGCUAAAAGAUUUGAUUAAGAUUAACUUUUGUAGUGUGA